GAUGAAGAACGUAGCGAAAUGCGAUAAGUAAUGUGAAUUGCAGAAUUCAGUGAAUCAUCGAAUCUUUGAACGCACCUUGCGCUCCUUGGUAUUCCGAGGAGCAUGCCUGUUUGAGUGUCAUUUCAACCAUCAAGCCCCAGGCUUGCGUUGGAGCCCUGCGGCUGCCGCAGCCUCCUAAAAGCAGUGGCGGGCUCGCUAUCACACCGAGUGCAGUAGAUUACUCUUCGCUCAGGGCGUGCAGCGGGUUCCGGCCGUGAAACCCCCUACUUUUAAAGGUUGACCUCGGAUCAGGUAGGAAUACCCGCUGAACUUAAGCAUAUCAAUAAGCGGAGGA
This 334-nucleotide unclassified non-coding RNA is filed under the name soil metagenome. Its description in RNAcentral is "partial contains 5.8S ribosomal RNA, internal transcribed spacer 2, and large subunit ribosomal RNA". The stretch from base 1 to 120 matches the Rfam family "5.8S ribosomal RNA", at positions 35 to 154 of the family's 154-position model. The record is from RNAcentral.